GCGCCCGUAACUCAGAGGCAGAGUCUCCGCGUCCUAAGCGGUUGGUCGUAGGUUCGAUUCCUAUCGGGCGCC
This 72-nucleotide transfer RNA is filed under the name Anaerolineae bacterium. RNAcentral describes it as "tRNA-Arg". It matches the Rfam family "tRNA". From Rfam's summary of the family: Transfer RNA (tRNA) molecules are approximately 80 nucleotides in length. Lineage: Bacteria; Bacillati; Chloroflexota; Anaerolineae. The record is from RNAcentral.